GUCGCACGAGAAAGUGGAGCAAUCCAUGAGUACAGUGGCGUACGGGUGAGUAACACGUGGAUCAUCUACCUCUUAGUGGGGAAUAACCCUGGGAAACCGGGGCUAAUACCGCAUAAGCUCGAGAGAGGAAAGCAGCAAUGCGCUGAGAGAGGAGUCCGCGGCCGAUUAGCUAGUUGGCAGGGUAAAAGCCUACCAAGGCAAAGAUCGGUAGCCGGCCUGAGAGGGCACACGGCCACACUGGCACUGAAACACGGGCCAGACUCCUACGGGAGGCAGCAGUGGGGAAUCUUGCACAAUGGGGGAAACCCUGAUGCAGCGACGCCGCGUGAGCGAUGAAGCCCUUCGGGGUGUAAAGCUCUUUCGGCAGGGACGAUCAUGACGGUACCUGCAGAAGCAGCUGCGGCUAACUACGUGCCAGCAGCCGCGGUAAUACGUAGGCAGCGAGCGUUGUUCGGAGUUACUGGGCGUAAAGGGUGUGUAGGCGGUUGCUUAAGUUUGGUGUGAAAUCUCCCGGCUCAACUGGGAGGGUGCGCCGAAUACUGAGUGACUCGAGUGCGGGAGAGGAGAGUGGAAUUCCUGGUGUAGCGGUGAAAUGCGUAGAUAUCAGGAGGAACACCGGCGGUGUAGACGGCUCUCUGGACCGUAACUGACGCUGAGACACGAAAGCGUGGGUAGCAAACAGGAUUAGAUACCCUGGUAGUCCACGCCCUA
This 711-nucleotide ribosomal RNA is filed under the name uncultured Acidobacteriota bacterium. Its description in RNAcentral is "bacterial SSU rRNA". It matches the Rfam family "Bacterial small subunit ribosomal RNA", at positions 61 to 804 of the family's 1533-position model. The record is from RNAcentral. Lineage: Bacteria; Pseudomonadati; Acidobacteriota.